GUCUGCUAAAUGGUCGCGGCUGCACAACCGAAAGGGUGCAGGUGAGGAAAGUCCGGGCUUCACAGGGCAGGAUGCCGGAUAACGUCCGGUGGAGGUGACUCCAAGGAAAGUGCAACAGAAAUAAACCGCCUGGAGCCGGCAUGAUCCGCUCCAGGUAAGGGUGGAACGGCGGUGUAAGAGACCACCGUCAGCCUGGUAACAGGUUGAGCCAUGUAAACCCCAUCCGAAGCAAGACCGCACAUAAGGCGAUACGGCGGCCCGUCGUGCUUUAGGGUAGGUCGCUUGAUCCUGACGGUAACGUAAGGACUAGAUAGAUGACCAUUCAAGACAUAACCCGGCUUAUCGGCAGGCUCAU
RNAcentral lists this RNase P RNA (355 nucleotides) under uncultured Catenibacillus sp. Its description in RNAcentral is "Bacterial RNase P class A". It matches the Rfam family "Bacterial RNase P class A". From Rfam's summary of the family: Ribonuclease P (RNase P) is a ubiquitous endoribonuclease, found in archaea, bacteria and eukarya as well as chloroplasts and mitochondria. Its best characterised activity is the generation of mature 5'-ends of tRNAs by cleaving the 5'-leader elements of precursor-tRNAs. Cellular RNase Ps are ribonucleoproteins. Lineage: Bacteria; Bacillati; Bacillota; Clostridia; Lachnospirales; Lachnospiraceae. The record is from RNAcentral.